Molecule: transfer RNA, 85 nt
Filed under: Haemophilus influenzae
Lineage: Bacteria; Pseudomonadati; Pseudomonadota; Gammaproteobacteria; Pasteurellales; Pasteurellaceae
Also listed under: 1 other name
Description: tRNA-Leu
Rfam family: tRNA
About the family: Transfer RNA (tRNA) molecules are approximately 80 nucleotides in length. Their secondary structure includes four short double-helical elements and three loops (D, anti-codon, and T loops). Further hydrogen bonds mediate the characteristic L-shaped molecular structure. tRNAs have two regions of fundamental functional importance: the anti-codon, which is responsible for specific mRNA codon recognition, and the 3' end, to which the tRNAs corresponding amino acid is attached (by aminoacyl-tRNA synthetases). tRNAs cope with the degeneracy of the genetic code in two manners: having more than one tRNA (with a specific anti-codon) for a particular amino acid; and 'wobble' base-pairing, i.e. permitting non-standard base-pairing at the 3rd anti-codon position.
Source: RNAcentral
GCGGGACUGGCGAAAUUGGUAGACGCACCAGAUUUAGGUUCUGGCGCCGAGAGGUGUGUGGGUUCGAGUCCCUCGUCCCGCACCA